Long non-coding RNA from Episyrphus balteatus (marmalade hoverfly), 368 nucleotides. RefSeq lists it as uncharacterized. The transcript has 2 exons. Lineage: Eukaryota; Metazoa; Arthropoda; Insecta; Diptera; Syrphidae. The record is from RefSeq and is a predicted model, not a curated record.
AAACAUAUAAAUGAACAAUAAAUCGAUUAUUAUAAAUAAGCAGUAGUACAAACAGCAAGUAUAAAUGUUAUUAAAUUAUCAGAAUCACAAACAAAACUGACGCAACAGCCAAUUUCUCAUACUCCUAAAUACGACAGUAUCUGUGAAACAAGUUCUCAAAAAUGUAUUCUGGGGUUUCGAAAAAUUGUGUACUGAAGGACAAUGAAUUGCAAAAGAAAAGAGGCAUCUUCCCUGAUUCUAUUAUCUGCCCAUCGAUGAACCGGAGCAUUCCCCGUCAGCAGCAUAUGAUGUCCUCGUAAAAGCAAUUAGAAACCUGAAAAAUAUUACUGUUUUAUAACAAUAAUGUUAAUCAUCUACAAAUGGGAAAG